GACGAACGCUGGCGGCGUGCUUAACACAUGCAAGUCGAACGAGUGGCGAACGGGUGAGUAAUACGUGAGUAACCUGCCCUCUUUUUGGGAUAAGCCUUGGAAACGGGGACUAAUACCGAAUACAGGGGGAUGGGCUCGCGGCCUAUCAGCUGGUGGGGGGGGUGAUGGCCUACCAAGGCGGUGCCGGGUAGCCGGCCUGAGAGGGUGACCUGCCACCUUGGAACUGGGCUACGGCCCAGACGCCUACGGCAGUCGGCAGUGGUGGAUAUUGCACGAUGGGCGAAAGCCUGAUGCCGCGGCGCCGCGUGAGGGAUGUUGGGUUUCGGGUUGUAAACCGCUAUCGCGAUCGAACCGGUAGGUGGAGAAGAAGCGCCGGCUAACUACGUGCCAGCAGCCGCGGUAAUUC
This 406-nucleotide ribosomal RNA is filed under the name uncultured bacterium. RNAcentral's name for it is "partial 16S ribosomal RNA". It matches the Rfam family "Bacterial small subunit ribosomal RNA", at positions 28 to 526 of the family's 1533-position model. The record is from RNAcentral.